Molecule: small nuclear RNA, 107 nt
Organism: Ochotona princeps (American pika)
Lineage: Eukaryota; Metazoa; Chordata; Mammalia; Lagomorpha; Ochotonidae
Source: Ensembl
AUGCUUGCUUCGGCAGCACAUAUUCUAAAACUGGAGCAAUACAGAGAAGAUGAGUUUGGCCCCUGAGCAAGGAUGACAUGAAAAGAACAGAAAGUUAUUCUGACUAG